UUACAAAAAGAAGGCCUUCUUCACCCACGCGGUAUGGCUGGAUCAUGCUUGCCCCCAUUGUCCAAUAUUCCCCA
RNAcentral lists this ribosomal RNA (74 nucleotides) under uncultured bacterium. Its description in RNAcentral is "partial 16S ribosomal RNA". The record is from RNAcentral.